GUCAUGUGACCUCCUCAAAUCAGCUGUAAGAAGUUGCAUAUACGGGUCCUCAUAGUGGAGUAGAUUUAGUUGGUUAAAGGAAACGCUGUAUCCACCAGGCACCACGAACUGCACAGAUGAGGUAGCUAUUGUAUUGGUUGUUGUAAGUAACUUACUACUAACCUCUCGCUCGAGGUCAAAUCACCCGGAGACUGAGUAUCAAUGUAGAAGGCACCACCGUUCACACUGAUCAUGGCAACGAGACCACCCCUCUCCUGGGAAAUAGGAGGCAAGGGACAAAGGGGCCUCCUUCAUCUGUCUUCAAUCUGAUGAAGGUCAUCAGGGGCAGUGCCAUCCUGGACCUGGCCUACGCAAUGGCCAACACCGGUAUAGUGGGCUUUGGUUGCUGCUAGUGUCCAGUCUGGCAGCUUACUCUAUACACCUCCUACUGAUGCUGUGGGAUCUAACAGCCAUGUCGUCAUACAUGUUCAUCUUGAAAACCGAGCUUCCUGCAGCCAUCGCCAGCUUCCUAAGCCGAGCUUGAGAGGAUCUGCAGAGAAGAAUGGGAGAAACUCUCCAAAUACAGGGUGGCCUGGUAUGAAGAUGGCAGGAUGUUACUGAUUCUGAUGACUUGUGAGGUUCCUCUGGCUCUACUGACCCAAGAUUGGAGAGUGGCACAGUUUGGUCUCAUCUGGCACACUUGUCCUUAAAUCUAUAUGAUAGACAUGUGUAUCACCAUCUUUGUCCUUCCACCCUCCAGGAUUCCAGGCUACACCAGCAGCCUCCUCUUCAUGCUCAUCUUCUUAGUUGUGGUUGUGGUCAAGAAAUGGGUACAUCCCCUGCCCCGUACCAAGCAAUGUGACCAGGUAACAACCACAUUACAAACGGCCCUAAUCACACACACCAAAUACUGAAAGUGACCUGUAGGCUGUGAGCUUCACUUCAUGUGGCAGGUAGCCUAGCGGUUAACAGCGUUGGGCCUGUAACCGAAAGGUCGAUGGUUUGAAUACCCGAGCCGGCAAAAUAUGGAAAAAUCUGCUUCUGAGCAAGGCAGUUAACCCCCAACAAAAACUGUUCCCAGGGCACCGGUGACGUGGACGUCGAUUUAAGGAAGCCCCCUGCACCUCUCUGAUUCAGAGGGAUUGGGUUAAAUGGGGAAGACACAUUUCAGUUCAAUGCAUUCAGUUCUGCAACUGACUAGGUUUUCCCUUUCAUAGAUUUUUUGUAUCUAACUGCCACAGUGACUGGUGGACCAAAAUGUUAAUUUCCCACCCUGGUAACACCUACCCUCAAGUCCUGGUUGUAGGAUUAGGCAGGAAUCCUGGAGAUUGUUUUUCUGAAUGGGAGGCUUUGGUGGCUGACUAAGCCAGUUAUGUAUUGACGAAUACCAGAGAAUGCUGCACUGUGACUGGUGCCAGUCCUGAAGGGGAGGAAGUACUUACGACCCUGCCAGUGCCAGGAAGUGAACUUUGACCUUGUUGGAUAUAACAGCAGCACUAUUGCUUCCUUGUAUACAGUCAUGGCUGUGGGUCCGUUUAAAUGGCUGUUGUUUAGUUUCCUCCGUGGUCAAGACUAUGGAAUUCAAUCUACCCCAAAGACACUCGUAUUUCCAACCACCCUUUUUUAACUCCUCUCAUUUUGGAAACAUUAGAAAUGAACAAGAGUGAAAUUAACAUUGCUGCAUUUAUUCAUUUAAAAAAAAAAUCCAGAUAUCGAAUUCCUUCGGAAUUGGAAUGUACGCCCAAACUCUCACCCAGUAAGGUAUGUAUGCAUCGGUGCCAUUUUAUGAUGAGUGAGGACGAUAGAAGAAAACAAACAUUAUGCCCAUGGCCUUAUUUCUAUUACAGCACAUUGGAUGACUGUCAUUCAUAUUCCAUUCACUCCGCUGAAUGUAACAUCAAUAUGUUUCGGCUACUACAUGCUACUCAAAUGUUCCCUAUACCCAUCAUGAGGUUGCUACAACCUAGCUUAUGAAUGAAACUUUACAACAUAAGUGCACAGGUCGAGAGAAAUUUGAGUAAUCAAGGUGACAGACAUUGACGCAUUCAAUACCGCCUUGCACACUCGUCUGCAUCUAGCUGAUCUAAGGUGUAAUCAUUAGUCCUGCAGUUGCAAACAAAUUUCUAUUGGACAAAUUCAAGUAUGUUUAUCCCUGUUUUGUUCUGUUUGCUUCCGUUUAAGAAACAUAAGCCCUUGAUCACAUGCAAACACAGUUCACUUUCAUGGCAGCCACAUACAAACAGCAAUGAUCCCUUUGAUUGUUGUAUAAUUCCUUAUUGGAUCUAUGCAGUCUCCUCUCACCUUUUCCCUUCGCUUGUGAACUUCAGUGCACAACACAUCAGCUGUCUGUUAACAGGUGAAAAAAAUCUUCCAAGCCAAACCUUAAUAUCAUAACCGCUAACAGCUACACACAGCCUACAUCGUUGUCACCAUAUUAGCUAACAUCAUAAUUAACAUAGCUACUAGAACUAAUGUGUUACUAAACUGCUACAAUAACACAGGACCGCGUACAGCAAGCAGUUUAGCAGUUACACCGGCGGGCGCUGGUGGUUAUAAAACCAAAAGCUUACCUUGACUUGGAAGAGUUCCAGUGUUGGAUAGCCAUAGCCAGCUAGCUAACAUAGCAUCCCUCUUGAGCCAGGUAUUAGAGUAGGCUAAACUAGCUAGCUGCAUCUAUGUCUCUUGCUUCUCCAUUUUUUAAGAAAUGAAUUUGUUCAAAACUGUUAAACUAUUGUAUUUCUCUGAGUCAACUACACAUUUUAUGCACUGCAGUGCUAGCUAGCUGUAGCAUAUGCUUUCAGUACUUGAAUUAUUCUCUGAUCCUUUGAUUGGAUGGACAACAUGUCAAUUCAUGCUGCAAGAGCUCUGAUGGGUUGGAGGACGUCCUCUGGAAGUUGUCAUAAUUACUGUGUAACUCUAUGGAAGGGGGUGAGAACCACGAGCCUCCUAGGUUUUAUGUUGAAGUCAGUGUACCCAGAGGAUUGCGGAAGUUAGCUGUACCUCGGCUACAUGAUGGUGCUACCCUACAGAGUGCUGUUGAGGCUACUGUAGACCUUCAUUGCAAAACAGUGUUUUAAUAAAUUAUUUGGUGACGUGAAUAAAUGUGGUAUAGUUAUCAAAAAAGGAUGACUUCAAUGUUUCACUAUUUAACAUUUUCUGAAAUUGACUGAUGAGGAUGGUCCUCUCCCUCUUCCGAGGAGCCUCCACUGAUGCAUUGACUCAACUUGUCUCCAUCAACCCUGGAUAUGUAGUCAGUAAAACAGACUGCAUAAUAUUUGUAAGCUGUAAUAUGCUUUAUUGCAUUUAAUAGUGCACUACAAUUAUUACUGUGGCAGAAGCAGUUUUCUGGAUCUUCUGGAGCUUUAGUAAAAGGCACCGUCUGUCUGUAGUUCUUAGUCACUGUCAGUGGUGACAUUUCCCAAUCAUUAAGAGUGCAGGAUUGUGUAGUGUAUGGAAUAGCAUAUGCUCCAGAGCUGAGUGCAACCAGCAGCUGCCACUCACAUGUGAAUGUGCCUGUACUAUUAAUCUGUGUGUGUCUUGGGGGGGCGUGCAGAAUUACAUGGCACACAUGGUUAUACGAUUCAGAUACCAUUAUAUAUUGCUGCCAGAGGAGGCAGUGCAAAAGUGUGUUUAUUUGUGUGCAGUGUGCAUGUAUUUAUAGAUAUGUCUCAAAUACUAAAUCAGAGAACUUCUCACCUCAACUUUACAUUAUCACACACUGCAGUUUUGCUGGUAAUGACUACUACUAUUAUUAUUACUCCUACAACUAUUACUACUAGACACACACACACACUGCCCCCCUCUCCCCUACUUUCCCUGGGUAACCGUAUACGUUUCUACGGUGUUAAUGAUGGCAGUGUAGUGAAUGAUGGAUGUGUGUUUUGAGUGCUUACAUCAUCCCCACCAUGGCCUUCUCCUUCCUCUGCCACACUACUGUGGUGCCCAUCUACUGUGAGCUGGACCAGUCAGUACCCUGCCUGCCUGCCUGACUGACGCAGCCCUUACACAUCCUUCUAAACAGUGAUUUUUCUGCCAUUGUAAUCCUUGGGCUGGCCGUGUGUGUAAAAAAAAUGAAAUAAAAAAUAAAGAUACAAAAAAACCUAAUAUUUAUUAUUCAUUUUCUUGAAUGGAAAAACACUUUCAGUGUAAAACUUCAAUGACUAAAACCAGAUAUAAAGUAUGUUGAAAUUAUGAUGGUACUAUUAUUUUUAAAUGUUAUUUUUGAGAACUAGCAAUCACCAAAAUAAAAGCUAGACAGUCAGACAGAGACUGAGCUAGACAGAGAAUUGAAAAUUCCCAAAACAAUGAUUUAAGCAGUAUUGGUUUUGUUGUGUUUGAGCAAAAGAACACAGUAUAUGCCAUGGAAAAAUCAAUUUAAUUGCAGGAAAUUGGUUUUAAAACUGCAAAAAUGUAUCUUGGCUCCAUGGACAAAUGUGUAUAAUUGGCUUAAAAAUGCAAAAUGAAAUGGGCAGUGACACACCUCACAGAGAGAGAGAUAGCUGGUUGACACUACAAGCUCUAUUAAAUCCAUGGUGUCUCUACCUCCUCCUAAAAUGUUAUAUUGGACCAGUCCUUCACUUUGCUUUAUCUCUCUGACAGGCCACAUGGACACAGAGCUGUUGCUAGGCUACGAAGUGAACCUUCCGAGUGAUGUGUUGGUGAUGGAAAAGAGACCAUGGUCUCAGCAUUGACUCCAUGUCAAAUUAAAUGUUCAAUUAAAAACUAAAAUGCCUGAGCGUCUGACAAUCCUGCUGGCUGUGCUGCUGACUGUGUUUGGGGUUGUGGGUAGGUGUUAAGUCGUUUAACUGAUGGGGUUUCCUUUUGGGGGGUAUUCAUUGUCCCAUUAGCAUCUACUGGUAAUGUUAGGACCUUAUUAGCUAAAUGGGUUUUGAAUGGUUGGUUAAUGUUCUCAUGUUUAGGUUAUUUAAUCUGUAGUUUGCUUUGGGUGUUAAGUAUAGCAUGGUGUACCGUGUGUACAAAGUCUCUGGAGUCUGUCGUGGUAAAUGCACACUUCCCAAAUUCAUCCUCAUACUGAAGUUGUUUAGCCUCAUAAAUCAUGGAAAAGACAAGAUUGCAAGGACCCCAAAAAAAUGAAAGAAAAUGUUACAUUUUUAAUGGCAAUGUUUUCAUAUUGGCUGGCGAUGUCAUGCAAUGUAAUGAUCAUGACUAACCUGUGACUGCACUGUAUCACUACGAUGAUGUAAUUUCCUUGUGCCCCCAGGCUCUGUUUCUGCUGAUCUUCAGCCUGUUUGUGGGACUGCUCAGUCUGUGUCAUCGUGGUCACCUGGGCAGAGAACCCCUGAACAGGACCACAUGACCAGACAAGCCAUGUACCUGCUCCAUGGAGCCUAAAGGGAAAAUGCUGCCAGAUAAAUCAUAUUUGGCAGCAAACCAGGACGCUAUGACCACCAAACAGGCCAGUGGUAGGACCACAAGAUCACUGCAUCCAGACUCUGAAAGCAGAAGACUGCCCAGUUACUGAAUGUUGCUCUGAUGUAUUGAGUGAAUAUACUAUACCUUCCUCUAUACCGCACCAUAGAAGAAGUCAUAAAAAUGCUUAUCAACUAUUUCAUUAUAUGAUCAAUUUAUUGUACUGUAAAAUGUUAAAUAAAAGGGAAACAUUGUGAUUUGUAUAAUUGA
This is a non-coding RNA of Oncorhynchus mykiss (rainbow trout), 5619 nucleotides long. Lineage: Eukaryota; Metazoa; Chordata; Actinopteri; Salmoniformes; Salmonidae. The record is from RefSeq and is a predicted model, not a curated record.